UGUCUUGGGUGGCGUGGCGG
Molecule: unclassified non-coding RNA, 20 nt
Filed under: Chlamydomonas reinhardtii
Lineage: Eukaryota; Viridiplantae; Chlorophyta; Chlorophyceae; Chlamydomonadales; Chlamydomonadaceae
Description: small RNA Cre_3549
Source: RNAcentral